AAAAACAUUUUUUUAUAUUCCCUGGUUCAUAUAAAAUUCACGUGCUCGAUUGAUCUCGAAUGUAAAUCAGUUUUUGUGGUCAGCGAGCCCUUGAUAACCAAAUAAUUCAUAAAUCGGAUAAAUUAGAAAUUUAUGGAAUAUUCAUACCCACACACAUAUACCCGCGCGUGCGCGCCCACGGACGAACAUUAUUCUGAAAACAGUGAAAAUAGUCGUCUGUUGUCAAAACGUCGUCGUCGUCUGUAGAGAGGUUGAAUUCUCGUAUUGGAUUUUUUGUUCCCACUAGUUUUCUAGUGUUACCUAGUGUAAAAUACUCUACGAUCUAAUAAAUUUGUUUUUUAAAGUUUUGUAAGACUCGGCGGCCUGCUCUGUUGGGAUCCCAUAUUUAAUCGUCCAGUCGUGUUAUAAGUCCGCCGACUUAUAUUUCUUGGAAGAUAUUCCCCCUCUGUGACUACGUAAAUAAUCAUGUACACACUCACACGCUUGCAAAGUAGGGGAAGUGUGAGUGACGGCGUUCAACGGCUGAACCGAAGUGGGUAUACAGGAAUUCUUAGAAUUACAUUCCC
Molecule: long non-coding RNA, 566 nt
Organism: Microplitis mediator
Lineage: Eukaryota; Metazoa; Arthropoda; Insecta; Hymenoptera; Braconidae
Exons: 3
Source: RefSeq, a predicted model, not a curated record